GCUCAACCGGGGAGGGUCAUUGGAAACUGGGGAACUUGAGUGCAGAAGAGGAGAGUGGAAUUCCACGUGUAGCGGUGAAAUGCGUAGAGAUGUGGAGGAACACCAGUGGCGAAGGCGACUCUCUGGUCUGUAACUGACGCUGAGGCGCGAAAGCGUGGGGAGCGAACAGGAUUAGAUACCCUGGUAGUCCACGCCGUAAACGAUGAGUGCUAAGUGUUAGAGGGUUUCCGCCCUUUAGUGCUGCAGCAAACGCAUUAAGCACUCCGCCUGGGGAGUACGGUCGCAAGACUGAAACUCAAAGGAAUUGACGGGGGCCCGCACAAGCGGUGGAGCAUGUGGUUUAAUUCGAAGCAACGCGAAGAACCUUACCAGGUCUUGACAUCCUCUGACAACCCUAGAGAUAGGGCUUCCCCUUCGGGGGCAGAGUGACAGGCGGUGCAUGGUUGUCGUCAGCUCGUGUCGUGAGAUGUUGGGUUAAGUCCCGCAACGAGCGCAACCCUUGAUCUUAGUUGCCAGCAUUCAGUUGGGCACUCUAAGGUGACUGCCGGUGACAAACCGGAGGAAGGUGGGGAUGACGUCAAAUCAUCAUGCCCCUUAUGACCUGGGCUACACACGUGCUACAAUGGGCAGAACAAAAG
This 638-nucleotide ribosomal RNA is filed under the name uncultured bacterium. RNAcentral's name for it is "bacterial SSU rRNA". It matches the Rfam family "Bacterial small subunit ribosomal RNA", at positions 607 to 1245 of the family's 1533-position model. The record is from RNAcentral.